GAAACGUGGGCUUACACUGCUCAUUGCUCUGUCUCUCCAGUGCUUCUUCCUGCUAAGAAUGCAGCACAUUCUUUAGGUGACACUCUAGAGAUGAAUGCUUCUCCAGGCUUCGUGACUGUGGUACUCUUGCUGCUUGGACAAACCCAUGGAGACUCAGUGACCCAGACGGAAGGCCCAGUGACCCUCUCUGAAGAGGAGUCCUUGAUUAUUAAUUGUACUUAUUCAACAACAGGGUCCCUGUUUUCUGGUACUCUUUUCUGGUAUGUCCAGUAUCCUGGAGAAGGUCCACAGCUUCUCCUGAAAGGUGUGAGGGACAAGGAAAAGACAAGUCACAAAGGUUUUGAAGCCACCCUACAAAAAAAUUCCAAAACUUUCCACUUGGAGAAGUCCUCAGUGCAAGCGUCAGAUUCAGCCGUGUACUACUGUGUCAUGAAUGACACAGUGACAGGGACUGCAGGGGGAGCUGAGCACAAACUCUGAGCAGAACAAGGGCCCGGAUGCCGAGUGUCUCUGACUGAUCCACUCUGGUUCCAGCACAGUGUA
This is a non-coding RNA of Hyaena hyaena (striped hyena), 543 nucleotides long. Lineage: Eukaryota; Metazoa; Chordata; Mammalia; Carnivora; Hyaenidae. The record is from the annotation of a RefSeq genome assembly.